UACGUAGGGAGCGAGCGUUAUCCGGAUUUAUUGGGUGUAAAGGGUGCGUAGGCGGUUAAUUAGGUCUAAGGUUUAAGUCCGAAGCUUAACUUCGGUUCGCCUUAGAAACCGAUUUACUUGAGUAUGGUAGAGGCAAGUGGAAUUUCUAGUGUAGCGGUAAAAUGCGUAGAUAUUAGAAGGAACACCAGUGGCGAAGGCGGCUUGCUGGGCCAUCACUGACGCUGAAGCACGAAAGCGUGGGGAGCAAAUAGG
This 252-nucleotide ribosomal RNA is filed under the name uncultured bacterium. RNAcentral's name for it is "partial 16S ribosomal RNA". It matches the Rfam family "Bacterial small subunit ribosomal RNA", at positions 524 to 776 of the family's 1533-position model. The record is from RNAcentral.